CAGGUCUGUGUUGUGUCCUUUGUCCAGUCUUUUUGUGUCUUACAAUUCACAAUUGUUGCACCACAGCACUUGUCCAGAAAUGUGUCACUGGAGUUUGUGUUUGGCCUGGAACUGCUCUGCCCUGCAGUGUAGACUUGAGGAUAGGUGGAGUAGGAAGGAGACUUUACAGGUAACCUGUGAUAGGCUUAGCCACUCAGGGCAGCAGUUCUCCGGUCCUCCUGGAGGCAGCCCCUGUCUGCAGCGUGUGUGCAGUCACGAGAGCGGGCUUUUCCGGAGACGAUGGGAGUGGUACGGCAGGGCCUUUCAGUUAGGUCAGUGUUGGUUUGUGCAGGUUGUCUUUGGACCCCAGAUGGCUUGUCUAAAGAGAAAUUAGAAUUGCACAGCAGUUAAGGUCCCUCCAUUUAUAUGGCUGACUUUGGUAACUCAUUUCUUUGUAGUGUCAGAGGGACUGGAUGUAAAGCAGAGAUGAACAGAAGAGGGUGGAGGAGCACAGUCAGAAGAUGCGGAGCCCUCAGCCCAGCAGACGAUAGGCACCAGAGGGAAGGUGAGCCCGGUGAGGAAGGCAAUGCACCAACUUCUAACGUACAGUCCAGCGUGACAGGGACCCUGCCUGUAAGAGG
Long non-coding RNA from Pseudopipra pipra, 620 nucleotides. RefSeq lists it as uncharacterized. Lineage: Eukaryota; Metazoa; Chordata; Aves; Passeriformes; Pipridae. The record is from RefSeq and is a predicted model, not a curated record. The transcript is spliced from 3 exons.